Populus trichocarpa (black cottonwood) is the source of this 138-nucleotide non-coding RNA. The record is from Rfam. Lineage: Eukaryota; Viridiplantae; Streptophyta; Magnoliopsida; Malpighiales; Salicaceae.
UAAUCUAUCUAGGCAGAUCCUUAUCUAGUUGUGGUAAACUCACACCUGAUUGUUUAAAAUCACUUAUGAUCACAAGCCCGACUACAUCACCCCCAAUUUACAUCCAAUUGAUUAAGAACUAAGGCCUAAGAUUACAUA